UGGGGAAUAUUGGACAAUGGGCGAAAGCCUGAUCCAGCAAUGCCGCGUGAGUGAUGAAGGCCCUAGGGUUGUAAAGCUCUUUUACCCGGGAUGAUAAUGACAGUACCGGGAGAAUAAGCCCCGGCUAACUCCGUGCCAGCAGCCGCGGUAAUACGGAGGGGGCUAGCGUUGUUCGGAAUUACUGGGCGUAAAGGGUUCGUAGGUGGCCAGCUAAGUCAGACGUGAAAUCCCUCAGCUCAACUGGGGAACUGCGUCUGAUACUGGUUGGCUUGAGUGCAGGAGAGGAACGCGGAAUUCCAGGUGUAGCGGUGAAAUGCGUAGAUAUCUGGAGGAACACCGGUGGCGAAGGCGGCGUUCUGGACUGUAACUGACACUGAGGAACGAAAGCCAGGGGAGCAAAC
This 401-nucleotide ribosomal RNA is filed under the name uncultured bacterium. Its description in RNAcentral is "bacterial SSU rRNA". It matches the Rfam family "Bacterial small subunit ribosomal RNA", at positions 355 to 773 of the family's 1533-position model. The record is from RNAcentral.